AUUGAACGCUGGCGGCGUGCCUAACACACGCAAGUCGCACGCGAAAGGGGGCAACCCCAAGUAGAGUGGCGGACGGGUGAGUAACGCGUAGGAACCUACCUAGUAGUGGGGGACAACCCGGCGAAAGCCGGGCUAAUACCGCAUACGACCUAAGGGUGAAAGCAGGGGAUCGCAAGACCUUGCGCUAUUAGAUGAGCCUGCGUCCGAUUAGCUAGUUGGUGAGGUAACGGCUCACCAAGGCGACGAUCGGUAACUGGUUUGAGAGAACGACCAGUCACAUUGGGACUGAGACACGGCCCAAACUCCUACGGGAGGCAGCAGUGGGGAAUAUUGGACAAUGGGGGCAACCCUGAUCCAGCGACGCCGCGUGUGUGAAGAAGGCCUUCGGGUUGUAAAGCACUUUCGGCAGGGACAAACAAGACGGAGCUAACAUCUCCGUUCCUGAUGGUACCUGAAGAAGAAGCACCGGCUAACUCUGUGCCAGCAGCCGCCGUAA
Molecule: ribosomal RNA, 496 nt
Filed under: uncultured bacterium
Lineage: Bacteria
Description: partial 16S ribosomal RNA
Rfam family: Bacterial small subunit ribosomal RNA
Source: RNAcentral